AUGGAAGAUGAGGAGGAAGAAGAAGAGGUAGCUGCACCAGCACCUAAGGCACCCAAGCUAAUGGGUGAUGCCAUAAAAUCAGGGGGAGCUGCUUCCAAGGCCAAGCCAGCUCCAAAGCCAAAGCCAAAGAGGAACACAAGAAGCAUCCCAGCCACUGAGAAGAACAAGGCCCCAGUGCCUGAAGUUGCAGAAGAAGAGGAAGAGAGUGUCCUUCGAAAGCUCAAGCCCAAGAUCCCAGACCACAACGAUGCUCAUCCUGUGGCUGAGGAUAUGAAGCUCAGGAGAGACUCAGGGCUGAGGAAGUGGAGAGAAGCAGAUCCGUAUGCUUCAAGGAGAAGGACAGCAGUUGACUAUAGAUUUCACACCAAGGAGCAGUAA
This 378-nucleotide ribosomal RNA is filed under the name Triticum aestivum (bread wheat). Its description in RNAcentral is "partial small subunit ribosomal RNA". The record is from RNAcentral. Lineage: Eukaryota; Viridiplantae; Streptophyta; Magnoliopsida; Poales; Poaceae.